CGCGUAGGCGGCUUUAUAAGUCUGGAGUGAAAGUCCUCUUUUCAAGGGAGGAAUUGCUUUGGAAACUAUAGAGCUUGAGUGCAGGAGAGGUUAUCGGAAUUCCCGGUGUAGCUGUGAAAUGCGUAGAUAUCGGGAGGAACAUCGGUGGCGAAGGCGGGUAACUGGACUGCAACUGACGCUGAGGCGCGAAAGUGUGGGGAGCAAACA
RNAcentral lists this ribosomal RNA (207 nucleotides) under uncultured bacterium. RNAcentral's name for it is "partial 16S ribosomal RNA". It matches the Rfam family "Bacterial small subunit ribosomal RNA", at positions 568 to 774 of the family's 1533-position model. The record is from RNAcentral.